UAACGAUUGGGGGCCGUUGUCCGGUAUUAUUGGGCGUAAAGGGCUCGCAGGCGGUUUCUUAAGUCUGAUGUGAAAGCCCCCGGCUCAACCGGGGAGGGUCAUUGGAAACUGGGAAACUUGAGUGCAGAAGAGGAGAGUGGAAUUCCACGUGUAGCGGUGAAAUGCGUAGAGAUGUGGAGGAACACCAGUGGCGAAGGCGACUCUCUGGUCUGUAACUGACGCUGAGGAGCGAAAGCGUGGGGAGCGAACAGGAUUAGAUACCCUGGUAGUCCACGCCGUAAACGAUGAGUGCUAAGUGUUAGGGGGUUUCCGCCCCUUAGUGCUGCAGCUAACGCAUUAAGCACUCCGCCUGGGGAGUACGGUCGCAAGACUGAAACUCAAAGGAAUUGACGGGGGCCCGCACAAGCGGUGGAGCAUGUGGUUUAAUUCGAAGCAACGCGAAGAACCUUACCAGGUCUUGACAUCCUCUGACAACCCUAGAGAUAGGGCUUUCCCUUCGGGGACAGAGUGACAGGUGGUGCAUGGUUGUCGUCAGCUCGUGUCGUGAGAUGUUGGGUUAAGUCCCGCAACGAGCGCAACCCUUGAUCUUAGUUGCCAGCAUUCAGUUGGGCACUCUAAGGUGACUGCCGGUGACAAACCGGAGGAAGGUGGGGAUGACGUCAAAUCAUCAUGCCCCUUAUGACCUGGGCUACACACGUGCUACAAUGGACAGAACAAAGGGCUGCAAGACCGCAAGGUUUAGCCAAUCCCAUAAAUCUGUUCUCAGUUCGGAUCGCAGUCUGCAACUCGACUGCGUGAAGCUGGAAUCGCUAGUAUCGCGGAUCAGCAUGCCGCGGUUGAAUACGUUCCCGGGCCUUGUACACACCGCCCGUCACACCACGAGAGUUUGCAACCGAAAGUCGGUGAGGUAACCUUUUAUGGAGCCAGCCGCCGAAGUGGGGCAGAUUGAUUGGGGUGAAGUCGUACCAACAAGGUUAGCCGAGCAUUUCUAUUAGGGGUCACUUUAAAUAAGACCACCCCUGCCCUACCCCUCUCU
This 1036-nucleotide ribosomal RNA is filed under the name Paenibacillus sp. TAE9. Its description in RNAcentral is "bacterial SSU rRNA". It matches the Rfam family "Bacterial small subunit ribosomal RNA", at positions 523 to 1533 of the family's 1533-position model. Lineage: Bacteria; Bacillati; Bacillota; Bacilli; Caryophanales; Paenibacillaceae. The record is from RNAcentral.